GUGGGGAAUAUUGGACAAUGGGCGAAAGCCUGAUCCAGCCAUGCCGCGUGUGUGAAGAAGGCCUUUUGGUUGUAAAGCACUUUAAGCGAGGAGGAGGCUACCGAGAUUAAUACUCUUGGAUAGUGGACGUUACUCGCAGAAUAAGCACCGGCUAACUCUGUGCCAGCAGCCGCGGUAAUACAGAGGGUGCAAGCGUUAAUCGGAUUUACUGGGCGUAAAGCGCGCGUAGGUGGCCAAUUAAGUCAAAUGUGAAAUCCCCGAGCUUAACUUGGGAAUUGCAUUCGAUACUGGUUGGCUAGAGUAUGGGAGAGGAUGGUAGAAUUCCAGGUGUAGCGGUGAAAUGCGUAGAGAUCUGGAGGAAUACCGAUGGCGAAGGCAGCCAUCUGGCCUAAUACUGACACUGAGGUGCGAAAGCAUGGGGAGCAAACAGGAUUAGAUACCCGAGUAGUCC
This 451-nucleotide ribosomal RNA is filed under the name uncultured bacterium. RNAcentral's name for it is "bacterial SSU rRNA". It matches the Rfam family "Bacterial small subunit ribosomal RNA", at positions 354 to 796 of the family's 1533-position model. The record is from RNAcentral.